ACACGUGGACGCGUCGGAUCCGGGCCUCUGACGUAGGGCCUCUGACGUCACCGCUUGGGGUCCUCCCAUAGGUCCGGGGAGACACGUGGACACGUCAGGUCCGGCCCGAGGGGAGAUGCGUCCCGCGGCUCCCUUCACGUCCCUUCCUCGCUUCUCUUCAUCUCACCUGGCCAGGGCUUUCCGGACCUCAGUGGGGCCGGAAAUUAGGCGAAGGGGGCGCUUGUUUAGGUGAAGCGCGAAGGAUGGAAUUGGACACAGGAAUGUGACUCACCCCCUCUAGGCCAUGGAGGUUCACGUGGCGCCAAGUGUCCGGGGUGAGGCGCUCCCCGCGGCCGCUGGCUUUCAGGUGGUUCGCCUUUACGCACCUUUUCUCUGCCUCCCGUGAGUCACGUGACGCGCGGAGCCCGUCAGGUCCCCGGGGAAUGUUUCUGUGACUGACCGCAGUCUGGCGGUUGACACCUUCAUUGCCUACACGAUGGCCUACUCACCGUUUUAGCUGGGGUCCUGACCUGUUCGCCCAGAAAAUUGCUAUCGGGAGGGAGGGUGGAGGGUGGAAACAUAGGGGAGAGUCUCAGGGCUGUUUCUGAACACUGCUUCUUCUACGCUGGCUUCUGGAGGCACCAGAAGGUGCUCACUUUUGGAGCUAGGGAAGACGGGGGCCAGUAGGGCAGUUUCCACCAGUGUCCUUCAUUCCUGUUGCAGCUGUUAGUCUGGUGGUGUGCAGCCAUAUGAACUUUGUACCUCCCGCUGAGACUUUCUGCAGUGCUUCCUGCAUGUGGUCUUACCCACCACCAUCAUCUGGUCAGUUUGACCCACCUCCUCAGCUAAGGCUUAAAUCCCCUUCCACUUCCUUUUCCUUUUUUUUCCUUUUUUUUUUCUUUUUCUUUUUUCCACUUACUUUUUUACUAGGCUCCCUUCAGGCUGAUAAAAACAGACAGGUCCUUCAAAUCGGGCGGAGAAGCAAAGUUCAAAAUUAUAUUUGGAAUAUUUCAAGUAGAGUAAAAAAUAUUUCAGCAAUGCAGAUGAUUUGUGUUGUGAGUGAUGGUGUUGGUAAGAUGUCUUGAUAAAAGUAAGUUAAUGUCUUGAGUAAUUUAUGUUCCAUGGUUUCUGAUAACUGUGCAGUCAGUUACUGGUGAGAGCCAUACACUAAUGGACUUUUUGAUUCUGUAAGGCAAGAAAAAUUUGACAAAAGAACCCCUCAGCUAUCCACAAACAUUUAUUUCUAGUCAUUUUCAGUGGUCUUUUGCCCUUGUUUGAAAAUAUGGAAGAAAAGUGGGUACCUGAGAUAAUUCACCAUUGUUUGAAGACUCUUUGUUUGUCAGAAACGAAAUUGAUCUCAGAAAUGCCAUUCCCUCUGUUAUUGAUCAGCUUGCCAAGGACACAGAAACCUCUCACUCUGCAGACUGCUGAAAAGCUGUUCUGUGACCGAAGAUUGUUGAAUACAUGCAGUGUUCUGCAUUCACACAGAAAAACCUAAAGGAUGCAUUUGACAAAGCACUAUUGAUUGUCUUGGAGACUCUGGAACUGAAGAAAAGCCGCAGCUUUAAGAAAAGAAACGUCCACGCUGCAACAGUUGACUGCCUCUGCUCUGCCCUGAACUCCCUGAAGAAGUAAGUGGUCUCCGGGCAGCUGUUGUAAUCCCUGAAGUACCUGUGUUAAACCCCUUAGUCUUUGUUUCUCUAAAAAGUGUCUGCAUUCAGCUGAUGGAGUUUGGGCCAAACCAGUGAGUAAAGGCCCUGAGCCAAUUUAAUGUACCAUUCUAAAAAUGUAUAAUUUAAAUGAGACGUUACAUUUUUGUGCUGUGAAUGCUUAUGAAAUGUUAGAGAAAAUUUUUUUAAUGUCCAAAGUGUUCCCUGUGUAAAUAGUGUCUGUUGGUUGACAAAUCAAAAGUUUGUCUUGAUGGCUUUGUUGCAGUAUAUCAGAUGCUUGCCAGCAGGUGUGACUAAAAACGCUGUCAAUUUAGAGCCUUCUUGCAAAAAAAAAAAAGGUUUGGGGACAAUGAAGGUGAAUUUACCACACUAAAGUCCUCCAGCAGUCAUAGGAAAAAAAUCCUCUUACCAAGUAAAGGACUGUGUUUCUUAUAAAGCUGCUAUGUCUUCUCAGACAUGUAACUCCUGCAAAAAAGUUGACCUGCUUAUCUGUGGUAAAAGAGGACAUACCAUUGUGGCCCUUGAAACUUGUCUGUAUUGUCUUUUAUUUAGUGAAAGGUUCACACACCAAAGUGGUUGUAACUGAUACCUCUGAAUAUAUUGUGGGAACAGAUGUGUUGCAUGUGUAUAAUACUUCUCUUGGUUGUUAGGAAUGUUCCCAGUGGGGAAAUGCCACAAAUUAAACAGUGCUAGUAAGAUGAGUACACAACUAGGAGCGCACCUGGUGGUGUUCAGCCCAGUUAUGUGAUACCAGUAGAGCAGGACAGGAUGCCAGGAUAACUGUAGUGACUAAGGAAGUGGUAGUAAGAGAAUACGUAAAGAAACUAUCUAGCAGGCUAUACAGACACCUCUCCAAAUUUGAUUGGCUAGUUCUCAUGAGCCUUUUGAGCCUAUCAGUGCUUGACAGUUCGGUAGACUGCAUCUGUGUCACUAGGCAGUGGUGCCCACUAGGGUUUUGGACACAGCAUUUUCCUAAUACCACUGCCUGGUAUACUGCAUUUGAGGGGCAAUUAUUGGCCUGUUAUUGAGUGCUGUUGGACACUGAGAAACUAAACAAUAGCAGAUGAUGUUAUCCUCUGACAUGCCCAUUCUGGAAUGGGUCAAAAAUAAAAAUGCCAACAAAGUGGGUAUUGCCCAGCAAGCAUGCAUUAUUAAAUGGAAAUGUAAGUAAAGACUUACAGGAAAGAAGUAAGACUUGGUGUAUCACUUUUCUAUUGCUGCUGUAACAAAGUAGCACAACACAAAUUUGUCUUAACAGUUCUGAAAGCUAGACGUCCAAAAUAGGUUUCAGUAGACUGAAAUAAAGGUGUUGGCAUGGCUGCCCUCCCUCUAGAGGCUCUAAGGAAGAAUCAGUCUCCUUGUGUUUUCCAGUUCUGGAGGGUUUCCUUAUUCCUUGGCUCAUGACCCCUUCCUCACAUCAUUUCAACCUCUUGCUUCCAUCACAUCUCCUACUUCCUCUUCUUUAGUCAAAUCUCCCUCUGGCCUCUUUCUAAUAAGGACAUUUGUGAUUACAUUUAGAGCCCAAAUGGAUAAUCCCCAUAUCAAGAUCCGUAACUUAAUCACACCUGCAAAAUCCCUUUUACCACUUAAAGUAACAUUCACAGGUUACAGGGAUUAGGACCUGGACAUCUCUGGGGGCUGUUAUUCAACCUACCACACUGGGCAUUAAUAGAAUCUCAUAGCUACAUAGUUACUCCAAAGAUUUGGCUAUCUCAUGCAGGAUCUAUGCCAUCACCUUAGGCUUCUUGGGGGCCUGGGUACACUUAGGCUCCUAAGGAUGCCUAAGCCUCAUGGAUGUGCUAGCUAAGUUAAAGGUCACUGGGGUUGUGUAGGAAAGAGUUAACAUAGCAGAUCUGAGCCUGCUUAUCCUUAGGAAGCUCUGCUUACAAGGUUGGCCUUUUGCUGGUGUCUGAGGUGUGAUUUGAGGGUUCCCACCGUCCACAGAACUGAUAAGAGUGGCUCAUUGUACCUAAAAUGUACAGCCAGUGUGGAUUAUGGUGAAUACCUGCUUUCCUCCUGGGAGUCUGGAAUUUUGGUAUGUGUUAGGCAGAAUGUACCUACAUGACCGGUCCCCCAAUAAAGCCUUGGACUCUAA
Hippopotamus amphibius kiboko is the source of this 3744-nucleotide long non-coding RNA. RefSeq lists it as uncharacterized. The record is from RefSeq and is a predicted model, not a curated record. NCBI's taxonomy places the organism in Eukaryota, Metazoa, Chordata, Mammalia, Artiodactyla, Hippopotamidae. The transcript is spliced from 2 exons.